Molecule: ribosomal RNA, 484 nt
Filed under: uncultured bacterium
Lineage: Bacteria
Description: partial 16S ribosomal RNA
Rfam family: Bacterial small subunit ribosomal RNA
Source: RNAcentral
AUUGAACGCUGGCGGCAGGCCUAACACAUGCAAGCCGAGCGGUUGAAGGGAGCUUGCUCCUGGAUUCAGCGGCAGACGGGUGAGUCAUGCCUAGGAAUCUGCCUGGUCGUGGGGGUAACCGUCCGGAAAGGGGCGCUAUUCCCGCUUACGUCCUGAGGGGGAAAGUGGAGGAUUUUAGGCCCCCACGCUUACAGAUGAGCCUAGGUCGGAUUAGCUUGUUGGUGGGGUAACGGCCUACCAAGGCGACGAUCCGUAACUGGCCUGAGAGGAUGAUCCGUCACACUGGAACUGAGACGCGGUCCAGACUCCUACGGGAGGCAGCGGUGGGGAAUAGUAGACUAGUGGCGAAAGCCUGAUCCAGCCAAGCCGCGUGGGUUAAAAAGGUCUUCGGAUUUUAGAGCUAAUUAAGUUGGGAGUAGGGGCAGUAAGUUAAUACCGUGCUUAUUUGACGUUACCAACAGAAUAAGCACCGGCUAACUUCGUG